CACAACAUUAGGGUGGUCUGGUC
RNAcentral lists this non-coding RNA (23 nucleotides) under Arabidopsis thaliana (thale cress). The record is from RNAcentral. Lineage: Eukaryota; Viridiplantae; Streptophyta; Magnoliopsida; Brassicales; Brassicaceae.